GGGUCCAUAUGGGGACGUCCACCCAUUGGGAUCCAUCCGUUCCCAUUUCCGUCUGUCUGGGGACGCUGAUCCAUUGGGAUCCAUGGGUUCCUCCCUUCGUGUCCCUUUGGGGACAUCCACCCACUGGGACGCGUCUGUCCCAGCCCCAGUCCCACUGGGGGACGCUGAUGGUGGGGAUCCAUCCAUUCCCACUGCCAGUCCCACUCCGAUCCCAUUGGGAUCCACCCCNUUCGUGCCCCCCGGGUUCCCCCCGCCUCCCCCCGCUGCCGCUGCUGCAGCCGCCAACCCCGGCGCCUCGGCCCCGUCCCUGGCUGAGUGAGCGCGGCACGGGGACAGACGGACGUUGGGAUCCGUGCGUUCCCAUUUCCGGGUCUGUUUGGGGACGGUGAUCCAUUGGGAUCCAUCCGUUCCCAUUUCUGGGUCCAUACGGGGACGUCCACCCAUUGGGAUCCAUCUGUUCCCAGUUUUGUGUUCAUAUGGGGACAUCCACCCAUUGGGAUCCAUCCGUUCCCGUUUCUGGGUCUGUUUGUGGACGCUGAUCCAUUGGGAUCCAUCCGUUUUCGGGUCUGUCUGGGGACGUCCACCCAUUGGGAUCCAUCCGUUCCCAUUUCCAUGUCCGUAUGGGGACACUGAUCCACUGGGAUCCAUCCAUUCCCAGUUUCGUGUCCAUAUGGGGACACUGAUCCACUGGGAUCCAUCCAUUCCCAGUUUUGUGUCCGUAUGGGGACGUCCACCCACUGGGAUCCAUCCGUUCCCAUUUCCGGGUCUGUUUAUGGACACUGAUCCACUGGGAUCCAUCCGUUCCCAUUUUCAGGUCCAUAUGGGGACAUUGAUUCAAUGGGAUCCAUCUGUUCCUAUUUCUGGGUCCAUAUG
RNAcentral lists this long non-coding RNA (873 nucleotides) under Numida meleagris (helmeted guineafowl). Its description in RNAcentral is "lncRNA (ENSNMEG00000001910.1)". The record is from RNAcentral. Lineage: Eukaryota; Metazoa; Chordata; Aves; Galliformes; Numididae.